RNAcentral lists this long non-coding RNA (15777 nucleotides) under Gossypium barbadense (sea-island cotton). RNAcentral describes it as "long non-coding RNA (GBAR_LNC007530)". Lineage: Eukaryota; Viridiplantae; Streptophyta; Magnoliopsida; Malvales; Malvaceae. The record is from RNAcentral.
CCAAACUCCGAUUACGACGAAGUAAGCGGGGAUUCGAGGGAACCAAAACGAAGGUAGGUCUCUUUUUUGUUAUAUCUUUUACACACCGAAUAAAGAGCAAGAAAAAAAAAGGAUGAGAACUAAAUCGAAGGAAAGGCUUGAUUAAAAAAAUCACCUUUUCAAAAUUUCUUUCUAUUCGAUUGCUUUGUAUAUCUCCGUAAAAAAAAUUAUAAUGACAAAGUUCUUGGCUUUAUAGCCGAAUGAUGAAAACUAAAAAAAAAUACUAUCUUUUUGUCCAUUUUUCUUCGUUUUAUUGUUGUGUUUGUCCCUUUUUGUAGGUACGUGGUGUGCGUUGCGCGUGUACGAGGACUAUGUGCUGGCGUACGGAGGCGCGAUGGAGGCCGUACAUAGGGAGGCCAGCUGCAGCGCGAGAGGAACCCUAGGUUGCUGGCUGCAAAUGUUUUAGUUGUGGGCCAUUGUAUUGGCCUAGGGUUAAUAUUGUUUUUGUGUUGAAAUUGGGCCUGUAAACUAGACUGUUAUAAUUUUGUUUGGUUCAUUAUUGUUUUGUAUUUUGGUGUUGAUAUGGACCCGAGCAAAUUGGCCUGUUUACAGCUGCCCCUCUUUGCUCAUUGUUGUGUAACGAGAAUAGAGCAAAGACUUCAAAGAAGGCCAAUUUUACCUGGUCUCGUCGAAUCAUGACUUUUUUGGUGUUUUUCUUCUUCGAGGUAGCCUUGUUCCAAUCUUCUGCAACUUCAAGGGUAGAGUAAUUGUUGCCCCAAUCUACUCCACUGUAACUCUAGAGAGACAGGCCUUGUAGCUCUUAAUCUGCUCUACUGCAACUGCUCCACUGCAACUUUAAGGAGAUAAGGUUUGCGUAUUUUUAUUCUGCUCAACUACAACUUCAGAGAAAAAAGGAUUGUGGUUUCGAUCUGCUCCACUGCAACUUCAAGGAGAUGAGAUCUGCUAUCUUCAGUCUGUUCCACUACAACUUCAGGGAGAUAAGACUUGUUACUUCAACCCGCUCUACUGUAACUUCAAAGAGAUAAGGUUUGUGGCUUCGAUCUGGUCCACUGCAACUGCUCCACUGUAACUUCAGGGAGAUAAGAUCUGCUAUCUUCAGUCUGCUCCACUGCAACUUCAGGGAGAUAAGACUUGUUACUUUAACCCGCUCUACUGCAACUUUAGAGAGAUAAGGUUUGUGUAUUUUUAUCCUACUCUACUGCAACUUCAGAGAGAUAAGAAUUUUAUGAUGACUUAAUCUGACCUACUGUAAUUUCAACGGUAUAGGAUUUGUGGUUUCACCAGUCUGUUACGCCGCUCUCUGAGGAACAUGACCUGUAGAAUUGAUUUUAUGGGACUAUUUUUAUGCCAAAUGAUUAGGAUGCUUUGAUCAGAUGAAUCGAAUGCUCCUAACUAGGUGUAUAUGAUAUUUGCAUGAAUGUAGAAUGUCGUGAGAAUGACCCCUUUUUAAUAUUUGGGUUGUCAUUACUCGUUGUUCAUCAAGGUUCUGUCACUGAUAUGUUAUCAUGUCUCCUUUGUUCGGCUGGUAUCUUUGGCAGAAAAUCCCUAUUUGUUCAACUGGUUUUCUUUACUGCAUCUUUAGUGAUAUAGAACCUGCAGUUUCUCCUAUCCACCCCACUGCAACUCAAAGGUGUAGGAUUCGAAUUUUCCCCCAUCAAUUUGGUCUGUUACACCAUUCCUCAGGUGUCAUGGCCCAACGUGUAUGCCUGAUAUUUUCAUGAAUGUAAAAUAUCAUUUUUCUUUUCUCGAGAGUGACCCCCUUUUAUAUUGAUCAUUUUCCAUCGAAAUUGUAUCAUUGACGCAAUAUCUCAUCUUUUUUUCAAUCACCGUUUUGGAUAAAAAAUCCAAAGAGAUGGUCUCAGCUUAAACCAUUCCCACUCAAAUAUUUCCUUAAGCUUGGUAAGAUCUAAAUAAUAGUUUUGUUUCAGACUCUUAUAUUUUUUAGAAGCAUUCCAAAGUAAUAUGCGAAACUCCGUUUGUGAAAGUAUUAUUAGUCCAUUAAUCAUUAUUUCAAUGCAACAUGCUUGCAAUAAAUCAUAGUAAUGGAUAAGAAUGGAAUUUAAUUAGGGCAUAACUUGAAAUAAAUAAAUUAUCGAAGAUAAAAAUGAAAGUUUAUUGGGGAUGCAUAUCUUGAAAAGAAAAAUAUUUCAAAGACAGCUGAUUUAUUAUGAAUAAGAUGAAGACUAGGUGCCCUUGAUAUCGUAGCCUGAGUUUCUCUGUAUGAACUUCUUGAAGACCAAUUUAGACUCGACAUGUGUUUAGGAGAUCAGAAGUACUUUGUCAAUGCCCCAAGAUGCGACAUACCCUUUCCCUUGUCAAUUUAGGUAUAAAAAGAUCAUCGCCUUCCCCAUCUUUGAUCAACAUCUGAGCUGCCCUUUAUGGGUUUUCAACUCAAAUCCCAUUUAGUCUCAAGGUACCCUUUGCGGGUUUUUACCUUGGCCUCUCCUUUUUUUUAAGGAAGGUCUUAAAGCGCUCUUUGUGGGUUUUCACUUUGGCCUCUUUCCCUCUUUAAGUGUAGUACUUCUUGACAGAAUCCAAAUUCACAGAAUUGGGCAAGUUUUUCCCAUCCAUUUCAGCCAGAAUUAAUGCUUCUCCGAAGAAAGCUUUCUCCACCACAUAAGGCCCCUCCCAAAUGGGCAUCCAUUUUCCUCUAAAAUCCUUUUGUAUAGGAAGGAUCUUUUUCAGAACUAGAUCUUCCUCAUAAAACUCUCUUGGGCGAACUUUUUUGUCAUAAGCUCGCAUCAUUCUUUUUUGAUACAUCUGACCAUGCUGAAUAGCUCUUAACCUCUUCUCUUCAAUCAAAUUCAACUGGUUAUAUCGAGACUGUAUCCAUUCUGCUUCAUCUAACUUCAACUCUGACAACUCUGAGAGAAGGUAUCUCCACCUCAAUGGGUAGAACUGCUUCCAUUCUAUAGACCAAUGAGAAAGGCGUUGCCCCAGUAGAAGUUCUGACAGAUGUUUGGUAGGCAUAAAGAGCGAAUGGCAACUUCUCAUGCCAAUCUCUGUAAGUUUCGGUCGUUUUUCCCACAAUCCUCUUGAUAUUUUUAUUGGCUGCUUCCACUGCCCCAUUCAUUUUUGGGCGAUAUGGUGAUGAAUUACGGUGUCUGAUCUUAAACUGACUGCAGACCUCUGCUAUUGUGCUAUUGUUCAAUUUCAAUGCAUUGUCAGAAAUGAACUUUUCAGGCAUCCCAUAUCGACAUAUGAUCUCCUUUUUCAGGAAUUUGUUCACAGCUGAUUUUGUGACAUUGGCAUAUGAGGCCGCAUCUACCCACUUGGUGAAAUAGUCAAUGACCACAAAGAUGAAUUGAUGCCCAUUUGAAGCCUUCGGUGAGAUUGGCCCUAUGACAUCCAUGCCCCACAUGGAAAACGGCCAUGGAGAAGUCAUAACAUGCAAAGGCAAAGGAGGUAUAUGAACUUAAUCACCAUAAAUUUGACAUUUGUGACAUUUCUUGGCAUAAUUAAUGCAGUCUCCUUCUAUGGUUGACUAAUAAUAUCCAAACCUCAUAAUUUAUUUGGCCAUUGUGAACCCAUUAGUGUGUGUUCCACAAACGCCUUUGUGAACUUCUUCCAAGAUUUUCUUGGCCUCCACAGCAUCCACACAUCUCAAAAGUACUUGAUCCUUUCUUCUUUUAUAUAGGAUUUCACUAUCUAAGACAUAAUCACAGGCUAGCCUUCUCAACGUCCUUUUGUCAUUCUCUGUUGCUUGAUCUGGAUAUUCGCGAUUUCUCACAUAUUACAAUAUAUCCUGAUACUAAGGGUGGUCAUCUCUCUCCUCUUCUUCCAUGUUGUAACAAUAAGAUGGGGCUUCACAAAUACUCAUCUGAAUGGGUUUUACAUCUUCUUGUUUGCUCAUAUUAAUCAUUGAAGCCAAAGUAGCCAAAGUAUUCGUCAUCUGGUUCUCAUCUCGCGAGAGAUAAUUGAAAGUAAUAUCAUCAAAUUCUUCAAUUAACCCCAACACUAUGCCUCGAUAAUUAAUCAAUUUGGAGUCUCUUGUCUCCUAUUCACCUCUAAGCUGGUAGAUCACUAGUGCGGAAUCUCCAUAUACUUCCAACACCUUGAUCUUACGUUCUAUGGAUGUGCGGAGUCCCAUGAUGCAUGCUUCAUAUUCUGCCAUAUUAUUUGUGCAAUCAAAAUCCAAUUUAUAAGUGAAUGGAUAAUGAUCUCCAUUUGGGGAUACCAAAACUUCCCCGAUUCUAUUACCCACAGCAUUUGAUGCUCUAUCAAAGUUUAAUUUCCAUGGGUGACCUUUUGUAACGUUCUCUUCAGUAGCCGCCACAUAUAUUAAUUCUUCAUUGGGGAAAUCAAAAUUCAAGGGCUCAUAAUCUUCUAGAGCUCUACUAGCCAGAAACUCUGCUAUUGCGCUCCUUUUCACGGCCUUUUGACUCACGUAGACUAUGUCAAAUUCAAAAAGCAGAAUUUGCCACCUAAUCAUCCUUCCAUUCAAGGCAUUUGACUCCAUCAUAUAUUUUAGGGGGUCCAACUUUGAGAUUAACCAGGUCGUAUGGUACAAUAUGUAUUGCCUCAACCUCCGAGCUGUCCAGAUCAAGGCACAACACAAUUUUUUGAUUGGCGGAUAUCUCAACUCACAUUCCGUGAAUUUUUUACUGAGGCAAUAUAUCGCCCUUUCUUUUCUUCCUGAUUCAUCAUGCUGACCAAGCACACAUCCCAUAGAGUUAUCAAACACUGCUAAAUACAGUAUUAGAGGCCUAUCUAAGCUUGGAGGUGACAACACUGGAGGAUUUGACAAGUACUUUUUAACCUUAUCAAAAGCUCUCUAGUAUUCAUCAUCCCAUUCUCCUGGGUUGUGCUUUUUAAGAAGACGGAAUAUGGGGUCGCAUUUUUCAGUUAAUUGUGAAAUAAACCAAGCAAUGUAAUUUAGUCUUCCUAAGAAGCCUCAAACUUCUUUUUGAGUACGUGGUGGAGACAACUCUUAUAUAGCUCGAACUAUGUCUGAGUCAAUCUCAAUUCCCCUUUCACUGAUUACAAAGCCUAGUAGCUUUCCUGAUCUAACUCCAAAAGUACAUUUCGCUGGAUUAAGCUUUAGCUGAAAUUUUCUCAAUCUCAAGAAUAGCUUUCUCAACACUUUGAUGUGCUCCACUUUAGUUCGGGAUUUGGCAAUCAUAUUGUCUACAUAAACUUCAAUCUCUUUAUGUAUCAUAUCAUGAAAUAAGGUUACCAUGGCUCUUUGAUAUGUCGUUCCAGCAUUCUUCAGCCCAAACGACAUCACCUUAUAACAAAACGUGCCCCACAAGGUUAUGAAGGUAGUCUUUCUCAUGUCGUCAGGAUGCAUCUUUAUCAGAUUAUAUCCCAAGAAGUCGUCCAUGAAGGAGAACAAUGAGUAGCCUGCCGUGUUAUCCACUAGAGUAUCAAUGUGAGGCAAGGGGAAGUUGUCUUUUGGGCUAGCCUUAUUUAAGUCUCUAUAAUCAACACACAUUCGUACUUUCCCAUCUUUUUUAAGAACAGGUACAAUGUUAGCUAUCCAUUCCGAAUAUUUGACCACCCGCAGGAAUCCAGCAUCAAAUUAUUUUUUGACUUCCUCCUUUAUUUUUAGCACAACGUCUGGCCUUAUCCUUCGAAGUUUUUGCUGAAUUGGUUUGCAAUCUUCUUUUAUGGAAGGCGAUCCACCGCAAUAUCGAUGCUUAACCCGGGCAUAUCUUGGUAGGACCAUGCGAAGACAUCUUUAAAUUCUUGAAGCAGCCUAACAAGGUCCCGCUUUGUUUCUUUGUUAAUGCACGUUCCGAUUCUUACAGCUUUUCCUUCUUCCAAGGUCACCACCUCCACUGUCUCUUUAUUAGAAUUUGUUUUUCCUCUUGUUCUACCAUCCUUAACAAGUCCAGAGAUAAGUUACAAUCUCCGUCAUCUUCAAAGUCUUGAGAUCCCUCUAAACACAUGUCUUGCUCAAAAAGUGAUUCUGAGUCAGUAGUAGCGUCACUCAUGACAUUGAUAUGCAGGGACCUAUUAUAGGUACAAAAAUAUAUAAAGAAUGAAUGAAUUUAAGAAUUAUUGUUUGCAUAGUAUGAUUAUGAAGGAAUGAUUGAAGAAAGUCUAAAAGGACCAAGAAUAAUUACUCCGACGAAAAGAAUAAAACAAUUACUUGUAGAAAGAAUGAAAUAAUAUUUGCUCAAAAUGGUAGCGAAAAUGUACUUCAUUGAAAUAACGAUGUUUGAACAUGAGCUUAUUUCACAAAGAAAUUCUUAUUGCCUCUAGACUUAAAGCAACAAGAUUGUUUCGAGCAUUACUCUGAGUAAGCUCUAAAUACUACAGGAAUGUCUUAUGCAGUCCAGUUGCCUAGAACACUCCUAGGUUCAUAAGGACGAAUAUCUGACAAGGUCCCCUCUUCAGUUGCUUCUUCGAAUAUGGCGUUGAUGUGCAUAUCCUUCAACAUUUCUUCGAUGUCUUUUUUCUCCGACAUCGUCCGUUUGGGAUGAAUAAUCCCUUCUGAUACAAAAAUCUUCGAUAUGUGAGGGAUUAUCAUAGGUUCCCACUUGAUUUCAUCACCACUCACACGUGUCCUUCUUUCCUACCUUUUCUCUAAUUCAUUCUUUCUUUGUCUGGCAUCUGGCCUGAACCCCAAACCAAAGUGGUCAUAUUUGUCCUUCAACAUAGGCACCUCAACUCUUCCCUGAAGACUCCUCUCAAGUCCCCUUCCUGGUAAAGCUCAUCUUCCAACCAUCAACUGUAGACUCAUCCUUGUAGUUUUGGAUAAUUUCGGCAUCAGAAUCUUACUCCCCUCAGUAAUGAAUGUCGCAUUAACAAAUUCCAAAAAUCGAAAUAAACAUUCAAUUGCUCCGUCAUCUGUAUCCAAAUAUGGUGCAUCACUGCUUACAGUUGCAAUGAUAUCCUCUUCAGCAUUUAUCGUUAUCAACUGACCCUCUAAUGCUAACUCCAACUUCUGAUGCAACGAUGAAGGCACAGCCCCUACUGAAUGUAUCCAAGGUCUUCCUAAGAGGCAGUUGUAUGAGGGUUUGAUAUCCAUAACCAAAAAGUCCACCUCAUAUGUAGUUGGGCCAAUCAACAAAGGUAUUUCUAUUCUCCCCAUGGCUCUUUUUUCUGUGCCAUCGAAUGCGCGUACUAUAUUCUGACACCCCUUCAUGUGCAAGCUAUGCACUGGUAAUCUAUUUAAUGUAGAAAAUGGCAAUACAUUCAAUGCCGACCCAUUGUCUAUCAAGACUCUUGGCAGUGUGUAUCCUUUGCAUCUGGUAGUGAUGUGCAGAGCUUUAGUGGACCCCCUCCCUCCUGGUGGUAUUUCGUCAUCGUUGAAGAAGAUGAAAUUAUCAACACUUAUGUUAUUAACUAGCUGAUCCAACUUAUUGACAGAGAUAUCAUUAGUCACGUACGUCUCAUUUAGCACUUUCAUCAAUGUAUGUCGGUGGACCUCUAAACUUAAGAGCAAAGCUAGUAUAGAUAUACGAGCUGGUUAUUUAUGAAACUGUUCCACCAUGCUAUAUUCACUAUAUUUCAAAAAUUUCAGGAAUUCUUUAGCUUCCUCAUCUUUUACUGGUUCAUUAAUAGGCAACUCAAACUCAACAGCUUUUCUUUUUUUUUUUCUGCUAUUGGAGUUUUUCCUUUUACAAGUUCUAUUCGGGCAUUCACCAAAUCAUAGCGUCUUCCACUACGCGUGUGAGAACCCAUAUCUUGAUCCUCCUUAGCUGAACUCUCCUUCCCCGGGAUUGUCACAUUACAAUCAUAACUCCAUGGGACUCUUUUAUUGUCCUUGUAAGAGAAAACUACUGAUUUUUGAAUUAUAACCUUUAGUGCCAUUUGAAUUCCCAUCUCAUUUUUCGGACGUGAAAUGAUGACCAUAGGAUAAUUGACCUUCAGACCCUUCGACGUUGAUUCUGACGUGCAUAUACACCCCUCCUCUUUGGCCUCUUCAUAAAAUUCUAUCUCCUUGUUUUCCAUCAGGCUCUGACUCAAGACUCUGAACUCUUCACAUUCUUAAAUUUUGUACCUCUCUUCAUGAUGGAAUUCGCAUUAGCUCUCUAUCCCUUUGCCGCUCCUUUCUGGAUCCAAAAUAAUUAAUCCUCUUUUUGACAUCUUCUUCCAGACCCAUUUUAAAGGAGUUUUUACUUCUAUAAUGUCUACCUUGAUCUUUCUCCCCAUACUUCCACUUGUCGCGUUUACCCCGCCGUCGGUGUGAUUAGGUAAUGGAUUUUCUGCACUGGGUGCAUUAUCAAACUUCACAAUGCCCACUUUAAUAAGUCUUUCAACUACUUUCUUAAAGGCAGUGCAGUUUUCUAUUGAAUGCCCCGGAAUUCCUACAUGGUAGUCACAUUGAGCGUUUGCAUCGUACCAUUUGAGAUAUGGGGGUUGUAAUAACUUUAGGUAAAAAGAGGCCACCACAUGUGUAUCGAAUAAAUUUUUAUACAACUCCUUAUAUGACAUUGGGAUAGGCGUGAAUUGAAGCUUCUCAGUGUUUUUCUUUAUGCCAGACUCCUGUCUUAACGAACUUUGAGUCCAUUAGUCACUGCUCUCGGCUAAUUAACAGUAAACAAUUUUGAGUACCCUAUGUUCGUAGUGUUUACCUUGUUUUCUUUUUUCUGCGGGGCUGGCCUUUUGGUAUUCUCUCCUGCCUCUAUCCUUCCACUUUUUAUUGCAUUCUCAAUCAUUUCUCCAGUCAUUACCACAUCUGAGAAGCUUUUUGUGGCCCUUCUCAACAUGUGUGUAAUGAAUGGGGCCUUCAAAGUUUGAUAAAGAGCAUCGCAGUUUCUUUUUCUAAAAGCGGUGGCUGUACUUGUAUGGCAACUUCUCUCCAUCUUUGCGCAUAUUAUCUGAAACUUUCAAUUGGUUUCUUCUCCAUAUUCUGUAGAGUAAUCCUGUCAGGAGUCAUAUCCGUUACAUGGUUGUACUACUUCAUAAACGCUUAGGCCAAAUCUUUCUACAAACUAACCUUGGUACGACUCAGCUGAUUGUACCACUUAGAUACUGCCCCCACUAAACUGUCUUGGAAGCAAUGAAUCAGUAGUUGAUCGUUGUUAACAUACCCAGUCAUUCUUCUGCAAAACAUGAUAAUAUGAACUUCUGGGCAGCUCGUUCCAUUGUAUUUUUCAAAUUCCGGCAUUUUGAACUUGGGGGAAGGACAAGUCUGGGACCAAACUCAGAUCCUUAGUGCCAAUUCCAUGAUGACUAUCAGCGCUUUCCAUUGCUCUGAAUUUUUCUUCCAGCCAUUUACAUUGUUCCUCUAAUUGCUUUUGUGAUUCCAUCCUUGCCUUUUCCUCUUCUGGUUAUUAAUAAGGUUAGAGCCUGAGCCAUCUUGGAAAUUCAUUGGUAUUGAAGCUCCAGCCUGAAUCUGUUGAGGCCUGAUCGUAACAAAUGGUCUCUGCAGAUUAAUCUCAGGUUGUGUUGGUACAUGUGGUGGAGUGAAGCUAGGAGGAUAUUGAGGGUCUUCAUUAUUUUCUCCAACAUUAUCCAUAAGACCCUUUCCCUUAUCCAUUCUUCCCAUCAGCAAUUGGGACAACUAACUCAUUAUCUCUCUUUGGGAUUCCAUCAUUUGAUCUUUCAUCUCUUGCUAAAUCUUGGCUAGCUGCUCUUGCAUCUGUGACUGCAUUUGUUCCUACAUGUCCUUUUGCAUUUGCUCCAAUUUUUCAAGUCUUUUGUCCAUUGACUUAGUCUUUUUCCUUAUACCGUAAGGGUGCGUACUUGGUUGGUUUUCGUUGGUUUCCAGAUUACUAAAAUAAUUUUUAAUUAAUUAGAAUCUUUUUAUGACCUUUAAUGCAUAUGAUGUAAUGUAAUGCAAAUGUAUGAAUGCAAAAGAGGCAUCAAUUUUGAAUCGAUUCCAUUUAGAAAACUUUACUAGAAAAUAAAAUUCUUUACAUAAAACUGAGUUACAAAUAAGACUUCGCCCUAAUCUCAGAGUCUAAAUUUUCCUAAGCAACGAGGAUAGCUUUUGCCCCCGACCUGACUCCAACUCGUACUUCAAGCUCAGUGUGUCCACUUAUACCGCUAAAGCUUGCAAGUAAGCGGCUACUUCCCUAAUCUGGGUUACGGCUUCUCCCAUAAUGUAAUCCCUAUUUUUGACUUGGUCUUGCGCAUGGUGAAGUUGUUCCUACCAACACUCCUCACUUGCUUCGAAAAACUCAAUCCGCAUCUCACAGCUUUGUAAUGACACUUCUAAUUCUUCUACUUUUCCUUUCAUUUCUUCUAACUUACUCAAGCUUGCUCUCAACUCUUUUCGAUACAGAUGAAGAGACUUCUCGAGUUCUACCACUCUAGCCCUUAAUUCACCUCGUUCAUUUCUUCUUUCUGAUAGACUCUUCUCUAAAUCCUCAUUUCGUGCCUGAGCCUUUCAGAAUUUCCUUUCCCAUCGGUCGGCUUUGGUCUUUUCCUCUCGAAUUUCCUGGCGCCAUUGUUCUGAAGUUUUACCUAACCCAGAAGUCCUCAUAGACAGGCAUAACUUCUUAUAAUCUGUUUUCAAACUGUCUAGAUCCUCUUCAGCCUUACUUUUCCCUUUUCUCAACUUCUCAGCUUCUGACCUCUGAACAUCUACGUCUAAUCUCAGAUGUAUUUUUUUCUUCUUCCAACUGCUCUAUCAUUUUCCCAAGCUUAGAACUCUUCUUCUCGAAGUCUUGCUUUAUAAUUUCUAACUCUGACGGGGCGACUUGUAAUUGUUCCUCCAUUGGUCGGGUGCUUUCUACACUUGGUCUAGGAAUAUUGUCAUUGACCAUUUUUCUAAACCAUCCAUUAUUUUUAGGUGUCACCAUAGAACUAACAGCCAACCUCUUCAUCCAACGAGUUUGCUUCCAAGCAUCAGAUAGUUCCCGAACUUUCUUCUUAUAAUGGUUACCUUUAUAUCAAAAUUCACACUGAGCCAGCCCGUAAGUAGUGGGUAUAAACUGCUUCGAUUUAUACUGCCUUAAUGCCAACAAAGGAGUAUACCCAGUGGCUCCCCAAAUUCCUAACAAUGGUACCCAAUCAAAGUUCCCAUAUCGAUACAGGAUCUCAUCAGGAACCAUCUAAAAAACUUUCCACUCUAUAUCCCCCUCCUUGAGGUUUUGAAGAAUUUCUAUCCACUUCUCCUCUGAAAUAUCAUCUCUCCUUUGCAUAGCCCCCUCCUCCUUUAACGGGGAGUAACUUUCAGAAAACACCCAGUAGGAAACCUAUUUCACUUUCCAAAAAUGCCCAUGAAACCACACCAUCAACAACUGUGCACACCCAAUAAACCGCCCCUCGCCUAUCUUCUGACACAUGCUCAAGGAUCUGAACGUCUCAACCAAUAUUGCAUGUACAGGUGUGAUUCCCUUCUCAAGGCGGGUGAAUAAAUCAGUGACUUCCUCAUCCACAUGCCUUAAAGCCUUAGGAAAAAUUACCAAUCCAUAAAUGCUUAAGGCGAAGAUAUCGACUCUCUUUCUUUCAUCCGGAUGUGUUAAAACCAAAUCUCUCAAAUUCUCCCAAGAAAUACAUUUACUAUCCCCCUUUUUUUGAAUCCGAGUAAUGGCCCAAGGCUCGCUCAUUCCUGAAAUAUUCAUCAAUUUCUUCGCGAAAUUUUGACCAUUAUAAACCUUGGCAUAAGCUUUUCUAACUUGAACUUUUGGACACCUGAGCAAGGUAGUAUAUUCCUCUAUGGUAGGCACUAAAUCCACUCCCCUAAAAGUGAAACACUUGUAAGCAGAAUUUCAAAAUUGCACCAUAACUCAGAACAGAUGCUUAUCCACCCUAAUAUCUGGCAAGUAGGAUAUAUCACCAUAGCUUUGAUAGAACAACUGUUUGGUUCCUUCAUCCCAACGAGCCCAUAUAUCUCUCAACCCUUGCAACUCAUUCUGUGUUACAUUGACACGAGUGAAUUUCUGCAACUCUGAUGUAUAUCCUUCUGUCAGGCUAUCCCCUUUCUCCGAUUGUAACUUCUCUGACCAUGCGCGGACGACCGCAUUAUCUUCAACUUUAUUAAGAAAUUCAUUCUUCAUGUUAAAUCUUCUGACUUAGUAAUCGAAUAUGAAUCAACACCUCAUUUAGUAUGCAAUGUCAUGUAAAACACAAUCAAAACAAAACACAAGUUAGUAUCAAAUAUAAGUAAUAAGAUACAAGCAAAAACCAAAAAUAAUCAGAACACAGAUAUGGGCAACUACUAAAGCUUAGCACAACUUUACCUAAGGGUAGCUCUUAAGGUUCACUAUAUGUGGUUCGGUUCUAAAGAGAAGGUACCUGAACCAGCAGAUUCCUCAAUCCUCACCCAUUAUAGGUUCAUAUGGAUCGAGUUCGGUUUAGGGGAAUACAUUUCCCUAUGACCAUGCGGAGAUGAAAAUCUCAUGAAAUCAUGGGUACAGAUGUAUCCUGGAAGCAAUCCACUAGCCCAUGCGGAGGUGAAAACCUCACGAAAGCAUAGUUUCUUACUCCCACUUAAAGGUAUAACCACAACAGUCAUGCAAUGCAAUGCAAUAUUAUUCUACGAGACUCGAACCAUAACAAUCAUACAAACAAAUGCAAUCAUGAUUUUCAAAACAAAUUUUCAAUACUUCGACAAAAGGACAACAAAUAAUCAAUUUUAUGACUUGACAAUCUUGUUCGAUCUCUAGUGGAGUCGCCAAGCUGUCGAAACCAUUUUUUAUUUUGAAAAAAAUUGGGAUCGACUUUGAAAAUGAAACGUGGAGUCGCCACCAAUCUUUUGUUUUAGUGUGAUUGGAUCACCUUAAUAAAAUAUUUUAUUCCAUUUAAAUCAAUUUUGGCCUACGAAAUUCGAGAAAAUGGGUUCGGGAAUCGGUUGCGUACGAGGAAGGAUUAGCACCCUCGCUACGCCCAAAAAUUGGUACCAAAUUGAUUAAAUAAUGUCCUUAUGUCUAAAAAAAAAUUUUGAAAUACGAUUUCUUUUAAAACACUUGAAUGACUCAAAUUGGACAUCAAGAUUCGCUCGUUUCAAAGGAAUACAGUAUGGCAUCCAGCACGUUAGGACACGAUCCUUUAAACCCUCGAAACUAGGAUCGAUUUCGAUUUUUAAAAGCCCAUACACUUGAAAAUUACAAAAGGAUGUUCGCUUAUUUGGUGCAACGAAAAAAAUGAAACCCAGCACGGUAGGACACGCUUUCUCGAAUUUCCAAACAUUAAACAUUGCCUUGUUUUAGAAUUUAGGAUGUACGGAUGAAAUUUCAAAGGAAUAUUUGAUUAUUUGGACAAACAGAAAAUCGAAACCCAGCACGGUAGGGCACGAUUCCUCGAGUUCCCAAACAUUACUUUUGAUUUAGUGAAUUUUGAAAUAAAUAAUUGUAGAACUAGCUCAAAACGCAUUAAUUUAACUUGAGAUAAAAUAGAAUAAUUAGUUUGGGAUUAAUAAAUUGAAAAUUUCAAUCGUAAGAGAUGAAAUUAUAAGCAUGUGACAACAUACAUUAAUAAUGUACUAUACUUCACGAAGGAUAAUAGAAUAAACAUAAAAACGAAUUAAUAAAAACAUCAAUAACAUAUCAAAGAAACAUAUCAAAACAAACAACAGUAAGCUUUCGAACAUUAAAUAAUAAAAUUGAGAAAGUAACACCAAAAACUAAUUGACAACAUGAAAUAAUAACACAUAAAACAAUAUGAAAUCCAUGAUAUACAGAAUAGUAUAGACACUAGGAACUAGUACGAUACGAAACGAUAUAAAAACUAUAUAUAAAAAAUUAUAAGUGAAUAACACAUGCAAAAUUUGAAAUAAUUUAUAUAUUAAAAAAACUAAGUAUAUACAUAACUUAUUAUUAAAAUAGAUAUUAUAAAAGAGGAAAUUUGAGUCAAAUAAUGUACAAAAUAUUUUUUUAAAUGAAAUAUCUAUUUAAAGAUGACCAUAUACGUAUAAUAAAAAGAAAAAUAAUUUAAAUGACAUAUACAAUAUGAAAGGUUUUUAAAAUGACAAAAAUGUAUAAUAAAAUAUAUUAUAUAAACAUAAGGUUUAAAUAUAUAUAUAAGUAGAUUUAAAAGAGAUUAUGCAUAUAAAGUAACAUAGAAUUAAUAAUAUAUGUAUGUAGAAUAAAAACUAAGUUUAUCAUGAACUACAUAUGCAUAAUAAUAUAUAAAAAUAUUCAAAUGAAGUAUUAUACAAAAUUUUAUAAUAAUAUGAUAUAAAAACGUUACAAUAGUGAUUUUAAAAGCAAAAUAAAAUCAUUAAGGUAGCUCGAAAUGUAAAAAUAAGUAAACUAGAAUAAAAAAAUGGAUGUUGAGUGUAUCUUUAAAAAUAAUGAUGAAUUAUCAAAUAAAAAAAUUAAAAAACUCAAUUAAAAUAAAAUUAAAAUGAAAGAGACAAAUUAUAAACAAAAUGAACUAUUGAAAUGAAAAAAAAGGGACCAGCGAGCAACGUGUGCGAAUGCGCAGGGACCAAAUCUGGAAAUACUCCAGACCCCAAAACGCAGCAUUGAAGCGUGGACCAAAUUGAGUUCAUGUAGAGAUUACAGAGCUAAAUUUUAGAAACAAAAUGAAACAAAUAAUGCACAAUCGGAUAACAGUGCGAAUGGGGAGGACCAAGCGCGCAAUUAACCCUCUAAAACCAAAGCACGGAUCCUAUCCGGGCACGGGUCAGUUCAUCUGGUUAUGGUUCUUGAAACGGUGCCAUUUUGUAGCCAUUGAGAUUGGCUUAAAACGACGUCGUUUCAUACGUUUCAUAAAAACAAAAUUAAAGAAACCCUAAUCUAACCCUUGGCCAUUUGAAGAGGAAUUCAGCAAAACCCAAACGCAUUCCCUUUCCCCCUCAUUCGGCCGAACCAAGGGGCACCCUUCGAUCGCAGUCUGACCUCCAUAUUUGGUCGACGGUUUUCACACGGAAGGCCUAAUCCGACCCCGUCCAAUCGCGAGUCCAACGUUUUGCUCAAAAGCCUCAAAGUCCUCACCCAAACUCCGAUUACGACGAAGUAAGCGAGGAUUUGAGGGAACGAAAAUGGAGGUAGGUCUCUUUUUCGUUAUAUCUUUUACACACCGAAUAAAGAGCAAGAAAAAAAAGGAUGAGAACUAAAUCGGAGGAAAGGCUAGAUAAAAAAAAUCACCUUUUUUAAAUUUCUUUCUAUUCGAUUGCUUUGUAUAUCUCCAUAAAAAAAUUUACAAUGACAAAGUUCUUGGCUUUAUAGCUGAAUGAUGAAAACUAAAAAAAAAAAUACAAUCUUUUUGUCCAUUUUCCUUCAUUUUGCUGUUGUGUUUGUCCCUUUUUGCAGGUACGUGGUGUGCGUUGCACGUGUACGGGGGCUAUGCGCUGGCGUACAGAGGCGCGAUGGAGGCCGUACAUGGGGAGGCCAGCUGCAGCGCAAAGGGAACCCUAGGUUUCUGGCUGCAAAUGUUUUAGUUGUGCGCCAUUGUAUUGGGCUAAGGUUAAUAUUGUUUUUGGGUUGAAAUUGGGCCUAUAAACUGGACUGUUAUAAUUUGGUUUGGUUCAUUAUUGUUUUGUAGUUUGGUUUUCAUGUGGACCCGGGCAAAUUGGCUUGCUUACAAUUCCAUCUAAAAUAUUUUCACACAUCUUUAGAUUUUUUUUUCCGACUCAUCUAUACCUACUCGCCUUCCACUUAUUCUUCAACACGUUCCUUCUCUUCUAAUUACCAAUACCUGCAAAAAAAAAUCAAUUUUUAAUUUUCGCCUAACAACUUAAAUCCAAAGUGGAAAAAUAUCCUACCAGAUUCAUUGAUUUAAAAAACAGAAUCCUACCAGAUUCAAUCAAAAUAUUUUAUUGGGGGUUAAGUGUUGGCUGGGAUCAAAUAGUGACCUUCAGAAAAUCAAUACCUUUUGUAUUAUUUUUCUUAUUUCUCCGUAGCAUUUGUGUAGUAAUCCUUAAAUCAUUUUUGUCACAUUAUUUUUUUGAAUUUGCACAAUAAAAAGUUCAUUCUUAAAACUAUAUCUGAA